This 423-nucleotide ribosomal RNA is filed under the name uncultured bacterium. RNAcentral's name for it is "partial 16S ribosomal RNA". It matches the Rfam family "Bacterial small subunit ribosomal RNA", at positions 359 to 773 of the family's 1533-position model. The record is from RNAcentral.
GAAUAUUGGACAAUGGGGGGAACCCUGAUCCAGCCAUGCCGCGUGUGGGAAGAAGGCCUUUUGGUUGUAAAGCACUUUAAGCGAGGAGGAGGCGCGCUUGGUUAAGACCCAAGAUGCUUGGGCGGUACUUGCCGAAUAAGCCACGGAUAACUCAGUGCCAGCAGCCGCGGUCAUACAGAGGGUGCAAGCGUUAUUCGGAUUUACUGGGCGUAAAGCGCGCGUAGGUGGCCAAUUAAGUCAAAUGUGAAAUCCCCGAGCUUAACUGGGGAAUUGCAUUCGAUACUGGUUGGCUAGAGUAUGGGAGAGGAUGGUAGAAUUCCAGGUGUAGCGGUGAAAUGCGUAGAGAUCUGGAGGAAUACCGAUGGCGAGGGCAGCCAUCUGGCCUAAUACUGACACUGAGGUGCGAAAGCAUGGGGAGCAAAC